AUUGCAAAAACACACGGACCCUGUGUGGAUUGGGUCGGGCCUCGGUUCGAUUUUCCAAAUGAAGCCAUUUUGGCGUCUACGACUUAAGCCCAAAACGACGCCGUUUUGAAGGGCUAUAUAAGUCAAAAAGUUAAAAAAAUCAUUUUUAUCCAUUUCAAAAAAAAAAAAAAACUUCCAGCCCCAUUUUUUCUCUCUCGGCCUCCCCCACUCUGGCCUUGGCGCAGGCGAGUUUUCGCCACGACAGCCACUUGUCACCGACGAUGGCUCUGCGCAGUUCCCGAUGGCCAAAAAACCUGUUUUAAGUCCCUUUCUUCGAAUAGAACGCCGAUCUAAGGUUUAAAUCCUAGAAAUCCAACCAACACUUGGUCAAGGGAAAAGAAACUGAAAGGUUUUGCCUUUUUCCGAUGAGGCCUUCGACGGAACCCUAAAGAGUUCCUAGGCUCCUCGAAUCGGUAGAAAAAGACCGACGACGGUGGCGGCGACGACGCAUCUCAAGUAAGAAUUUUUCUUCUUUUUUUUUUACUUCGAAAAUAAAAUAAAAAUAAAAUGCUACCUUUUGGUUUGAAAUCUGAUUUUUUUGUAUAUUUUUCUCUGUAUUCGAUAUUUUUAUUUUCAAAAAAAGUCCCCCUUUUACAAUCUAUUUUUAGGCUUUUUAUAGCCAGAUUAUACUAUUAUUUUUCUUUUUUCUACUGUUCUCGCUACUAUUCGCUGUCUUUUCUUCUUUUUUUUCUUACAGGCGGUGGUUGAGGAUGACGGUGGCAGAGGUAGACCUAGGGUGUGCAUGCUGACAUGGCCAAGGCAUAGGAGAGGUGGCGGGGCUAGGGUUUCUGUUUUGUUGAAAAAUGUUUAGGUUUUUGGGCUUAUUGGGCCAUUAAAGUUUUUUGAUUUGGGCCAUAUUAGGUCAUAUUGUAAAUGGACUGUUAUGGACUUUUGAUUUAUGGUUUUAUUUAUUUUAUUUUUGGUUUGUUUUUUUGGGCCUGGGCAAAAUUGAGCUUCUACAUAUAUAAUUUAUAAAAUUUU
This 1020-nucleotide long non-coding RNA is filed under the name Gossypium raimondii (Peruvian cotton). RNAcentral describes it as "long non-coding RNA (GRAI_LNC007290)". Lineage: Eukaryota; Viridiplantae; Streptophyta; Magnoliopsida; Malvales; Malvaceae. The record is from RNAcentral.